GGGGGAUUAGCUCAGCUGGGAGAGCGCCUGCUUUGCAAGCAGGAGGUCAUCGGUUCGAUCCCGUUAUCCUCCA
Molecule: transfer RNA, 73 nt
Rfam family: tRNA
About the family: Transfer RNA (tRNA) molecules are approximately 80 nucleotides in length. Their secondary structure includes four short double-helical elements and three loops (D, anti-codon, and T loops).
Source: Rfam